This 467-nucleotide ribosomal RNA is filed under the name uncultured bacterium. RNAcentral's name for it is "partial 16S ribosomal RNA". It matches the Rfam family "Bacterial small subunit ribosomal RNA", at positions 28 to 507 of the family's 1533-position model. The record is from RNAcentral.
GAUGAACGCUGGCGGCGUGCUUAACACAUGCGAGUCGAACGGAAAGGCUCCUGCUUGCAGGGGUACUCGAGUGGCGAACGGGUGAGUAACACGUGGGUGAUCUGCCCUGCACUUCGGGAUAAGCCUGGGAAACUGGGUCUAAUACCGGAUAGGACCACAUUUUGGAUGGUGUGGUGGAAAGUUUUUCGGUGUGGGCUGAGCUCGCGGCCUAUCAGCUUGUUGGUGGGGUAAUGGCCUACCAAGGCGUCGACGGGUAGCCGGCCUGAGAGGGUGUACGGCCACAUUGGGACUGAGAUACGGCCCAGACUCCUACGGGAGGCAGCAGUGGGGAAUAUUGCACAAUGGGCGCAAGCCUGAUGCAGCGACGCCGCGUGGGGGAUGACGGCCUUCGGGUUGUAAACUCCUUUCGCUAGGGACGAAGCGUUUUUGUGACGGUACCUGGAGAAGAAGCACCGGCUAACUACGUG